RNAcentral lists this small nuclear RNA (287 nucleotides) under Myotis davidii. RNAcentral describes it as "7SK RNA". It matches the Rfam family "7SK RNA". Rfam says of the family: 7SK was discovered as an abundant small nuclear RNA in the mid-70s but a possible function has only recently been suggested. Two independent studies have found that 7SK RNA binds the CDK9/cyclin T complex (known as elongation factor P-TEFb). The record is from Rfam by way of RNAcentral. Lineage: Eukaryota; Metazoa; Chordata; Mammalia; Chiroptera; Vespertilionidae.
GGAUGUGAGGGCGAUCUGGCUGCGACAUCUGUCACCCCAUUGAUGGGCAGGGUUGAUUCGGCUGAUCUGGCUGGCUAGGCGGGUGUCCCCCUCCUCCCUCACCGACCCAUGUGCGUCCGGAAGCUGCGCGCUCGGUCGAAGAGGAUGACCUUCCCCCCGCCCCAGGAGAGGACCAGUCUUCGGUCAAGGGUAUACGAGUAGCUGCGCUCCCCUGCUAGAACCUCCAAACAAGCUCUCAAGAAGCAAGUACCUUGUAAGCUCAGUUAUUGUUACCAUGGUAACUUAAG